AGAUUAAGUUAUUAAGGGCGCACGGUGGAUGCCUUGGCACUAGAAGCCGACGAAGGACGUUACUAACGACGAUAUGCUUUGGGGAGCUGUAAGUAAGCUUUGAUCCAGAGAUUU
This 114-nucleotide ribosomal RNA is filed under the name Staphylococcus pseudintermedius. RNAcentral's name for it is "partial 23S ribosomal RNA". It matches the Rfam family "Bacterial large subunit ribosomal RNA", at positions 1 to 113 of the family's 2925-position model. The record is from RNAcentral. Lineage: Bacteria; Bacillati; Bacillota; Bacilli; Caryophanales; Staphylococcaceae.